CCUACGGGUGGCAGCAGUGAGGAAUAUUGGUCAAUGGGCGCGAGCCUGAACCAGCCAAGUCGCGUGAGGGAAGACGGCCCUACGGGUUGUAAACCUCUUUUGCCGGGGAGCAACGGGCGCCACGUGUGGCGCCACUGAGAGUACCCGGAGAAAAAGCAUCGGCUAACUCCGUGCCAGCAGCCGCGGUAAUAAGGAGGAUGCGAGCGUUUUCCGGAUUUUUUGGGUUUAAGGGGUGCGUAGGGGGAGCGUUAAGGAGGUGGUAAAAUGGAGGGGCUCAACCCAUACCCGCCAUUGAAACUGGCGCUCUUGAGUGGAAGAGAAGUAUGCGGAAUGCGUGGUGUAGCGGUGAAAUGCAUAGAUAUCACGCAGAAUCCCGAUUGCGAAGGCAGCAUGCCGGCUUCCGACUGACGCUGAAGCACGAAAGCGUGGGGAUCGAACAGGAUUAGAUACCCGUGUAGUC
This 460-nucleotide ribosomal RNA is filed under the name uncultured bacterium. Its description in RNAcentral is "partial 16S ribosomal RNA". It matches the Rfam family "Bacterial small subunit ribosomal RNA", at positions 338 to 795 of the family's 1533-position model. The record is from RNAcentral.